This 633-nucleotide long non-coding RNA is filed under the name Bicyclus anynana (squinting bush brown). RNAcentral's name for it is "c51354". Lineage: Eukaryota; Metazoa; Arthropoda; Insecta; Lepidoptera; Nymphalidae. The record is from RNAcentral.
UUUAGACUCCAGCGACGUGCACAAUGUUUAUGACCAGGGUCCAUAGUGAGUUCUCUGGGUAAGAAGCUCAUUAAGUGAACGCCACUGAUUACAGCACCACAUAACAGCCACAUAUUAUAAAGGCACCAAUUACAUAUGCGGUAAAGUUACAAAGAAAACUGAAGGAUCCGAGACACGAACGACUUACCCGUACGUGUGGAGAAAAAGAGAAAAACUCUCCGACUUACACCCUGAGCGCUGCAAGGGUGAAGGGACUGGAGGGUACAAGGGCCCUACUUCCACUGUGACAUAAUGCGAGCUCCGAUUGAAGGGCUGCCAACGCUGCGUGAACAAAGCACGCGCGUACAUACACAUGACAGGGGACAAUUAACUGCGCACGCCGGAUUAGCGGGAGUGUCUGCUGCGAGCGAGUCGCGGUCACCGUUAUGUGGGUCAAGACUCAAGAUAACAGAGUGAGACCUCUCCCUAGCGUCCGGCGCCGCGACGUGCUUAGAUAGUAGACACCCGUGCUCAGUACAGUGUGACAUACACAAGUCCUUCUAUAUUUGAUAGCUUUAUUUUUAUAUUAAAGUGGUAAGAUUGAUUGCUUGUUUGAAUUGAAUAAGCUCUGAAACUACUGAAUCGGUUUUAAAA